RNAcentral lists this ribosomal RNA (406 nucleotides) under uncultured bacterium. RNAcentral's name for it is "partial 16S ribosomal RNA". It matches the Rfam family "Bacterial small subunit ribosomal RNA", at positions 30 to 526 of the family's 1533-position model. The record is from RNAcentral.
AUUGAACGCUGGCGGCAGGCCUAACACAUGCAAGUCGAACGAGUGGCGGACGGGUGAGUAAUGUCUGGGAAACUGCCUGAUGGAGGGGGAUAAAUAAUGGAAACGGUAGCUAAUACCGCAUACCAUCAGAUGUGCCCAGAUGGGAUUAGCUUGUUGGUGGGGUAACGGCUCACCAAGGCGACGAUCCCUAGCUGGUCUGAGAGGAUGACCAGCCACACUGGAACUGCGACACGGUCCAGACUCCUACGGGAGGCAGCAGUGGGGAAUAUUCCACAAUGGGCGCAAGCCUUAUGCAGCCAUGCCGCGUGUAUGAAGAAGGCCUUCGGGUUGUAAAGUACUUUCGGCGGGGAGGCGUUGCCCUCAGAAGAAGCACCGGCUAACUCCGUGCCAGCAGCCGCGGUAAUUC